Gastrolobium bilobum is the source of this 379-nucleotide long non-coding RNA. RefSeq lists it as uncharacterized. The record is from RefSeq and is a predicted model, not a curated record. Lineage: Eukaryota; Viridiplantae; Streptophyta; Magnoliopsida; Fabales; Fabaceae. The transcript has 3 exons.
CGUACGUCGACUUGAAUCCUGAACAGUAAACCAGUGGAUUGCUCUUGGUCCUAGACCAACUAGAUUGAGGCAUUCCAUUGUGUGCCAAGUGAAAGAUAAGCUGCUGCGGAGCAGAGUGACAGAACAAUUAAGGAGGUAGCAGUGGCACAGGAGUGGCGGGCAAGAGGCCUGUAGGAUGAGUCGUGGGAGCAUUGUCAUUAUUUGUUCAUGAUAUAUAUUUUGCCUAAGUCUAGUUAGUUGUUAUGUCAUUCGAAGUUAUGUUUAAAGUUAUAAAUUCAAGUUCAUAUUUCAAGUUGUAAAUUCAAGUUAUGAAUAUGUACGUUGUUAUAUUUAAAUGAUAUGUUGUAAAUAUGCAUGAAUAUUGAUGUAAUAUGAUGGA